CCUACGGGCGGCUGCAGUGGGGAAUAUUGCACAAUGGGGGAAACCCUGAUGCAGCGACGCCGCGUGAGUGAAGAAGUAUUUCGGUAUGUAAAGCUCUAUCAGCAGGGAAGAAGAAAGACGGUACCUGACUAAGAAGCCCCGGCUAACUACGUGCCAGCAGCCGCGGUAAUACGUAGGGGGCAAGCGUUAUCCGGAUUUACUGGGUGUAAAGGGAGCGUAGACGGCUGUGCAAGUCUGAAGUGAAAGCCCAGGGCUCAACCCUGGGACUGCUUUGGAAACUGUGGAGCUUGAGUGCUGGAGAGGUAAGUGGAAUUCCUAGUGUAGCGGUGAAAUGCGUAGAUAUUAGGAGGAACACCAGUGGCGAAGGCGGCUUACUGGACAGUAACUGACGUUGAGGCUCGAAAGCGUGGGGAGCAAACAGGAUUAGAUACCCCAGUAGUC
This 441-nucleotide ribosomal RNA is filed under the name uncultured bacterium. RNAcentral's name for it is "partial 16S ribosomal RNA". It matches the Rfam family "Bacterial small subunit ribosomal RNA", at positions 338 to 795 of the family's 1533-position model. The record is from RNAcentral.